RNAcentral lists this ribosomal RNA (433 nucleotides) under uncultured bacterium. Its description in RNAcentral is "partial 16S ribosomal RNA". It matches the Rfam family "Bacterial small subunit ribosomal RNA", at positions 29 to 507 of the family's 1533-position model. The record is from RNAcentral.
AACGAACGCUGGCGGCAUGCCUAACACAUGCAAGUCGAACGAGACCUUCGGGUCUAGUGGCGCACGGGUGCGUAACGCGUGGGAAUCUGCCCUUCGGUUGGGAAUAACUGAGAGAAAUUUCAGCUAAUACCUUAUAAUGUCUUCGGACCAAAGAUUUAUCGCCGAGGGAUGAGCCCGCGUAGGAUUAGGUAGUUGGUGGGGUAAUGGCCUACCAAGCCGACGAUCCUUAGCUGGUCUGAGAGGAUGAUCUGCCACACUGGGACUGAGACACGGCCCAGACUCCUACGGGAGGCAGCAGUGGGGAAUAUUGGACAAUGGGCGAAAGCCUGAUCCAGCAAUGCCGCGUGAGUGAUGAAGGCCUUAGGGUUGUAAAGCUCUUUUACCCGGGAUGAUAAUGACAGUACCGGGAGAAUAAGCUCCGGCUAACUCCGUG